AGACGGCAAGGGAUGUGUAGCUUUUUCAAUCCUGGCCAUAACAUUCUUCUUCAUGCGCUUCUCAAUGUCCUUUCUCCUUUCAUUAGGUAAAAUGGAGAUGAUCCCCAGGGCCAUCUUGGAAGCAGUUUUUGAAGUUGGUAGAGUCUCGGGCCCGCUUAACUGCUGAAAGAGUAGGAAGGGGUCCGUUUCAUUAGCACGUUCAACCAAAAAGCGCUGUUAGGUUUCCUGCACCACAAGGUUCCUUUCACUUAAAAAAAAAUUUUUUUUAUAUUACACCAUCUUUAUUUGUACCUUCAGUAAGAACAGUUUCAGCAUCAACUAAUGAACAGUAGCCAAACCAGAGAGCAGUCAAAAGUGUUUUAAAGGGAGCAGCAUCAGCUGAUGUUCUGCCAAGUCUCUGGGUGUCCAGGACCAUGGUCCCCCGGCACUUCCAGGCCCCUGUGGGCUGCAGGUGGAUCCCCAGGAGCCAAAGGGCCUCUCAGGAAAGGGUGGAACUUGGCCUCGCAGUCAGCUGGCUUCUGCCUAUUAUGGUCAUCUUCUUUCCAGAGGUCUUGCUAUCUCAGUGGACAUG
RNAcentral lists this long non-coding RNA (571 nucleotides) under Pan troglodytes (chimpanzee). Its description in RNAcentral is "lincRNA". The record is from RNAcentral. Lineage: Eukaryota; Metazoa; Chordata; Mammalia; Primates; Hominidae.